This 496-nucleotide ribosomal RNA is filed under the name Oleiphilus sp. HI0081. RNAcentral's name for it is "bacterial LSU rRNA". It matches the Rfam family "Bacterial large subunit ribosomal RNA", at positions 2447 to 2925 of the family's 2925-position model. Lineage: Bacteria; Pseudomonadati; Pseudomonadota; Gammaproteobacteria; Oceanospirillales; Oleiphilaceae. The record is from RNAcentral.
GCUCAACGGAUAAAAGGUACUCCGGGGAUAACAGGCUGAUACCGCCCAAGAGUUCACAUCGACGGCGGUGUUUGGCACCUCGAUGUCGGCUCAUCACAUCCUGGGGCUGAAGCCGGUCCCAAGGGUAUGGCUGUUCGCCAUUUAAAGUGGUACGCGAGCUGGGUUUAGAACGUCGUGAGACAGUUCGGUCCCUAUCUGCCGUGGACGUUGGAAAAUUGAGAAGAGCUGCUCCUAGUACGAGAGGACCGGAGUGGACGAACCCCUGGUGUUCGGGUUGUGUCGCCAGACGCAUUGCCCGGUAGCUACGUUCGGACAGGAUAACCGCUGAAAGCAUCUAAGCGGGAAGCCCCCUUCAAGAUAAGUUUUCCCUGGGAAUUUAAUUCCCCUAAAGAGCCGUUAAAGACUAUGACGUUGAUAGGCUGGGUGUGUAAGUGCGGUAACGUAUUGAGCUAACCAGUACUAAUUGCUCGUGAGGCUUAACUAUAUAACGCCCAAG